GUUAUUAUAGCUAGUAUCAACAAAGUAGCGAGAUACGUUGUGUGCAUUAUUUGAGCAUGGAAAAAUUGAAGACCGUGUAUUCAUUGACCAUAGGAGAGCAAUGCUUCAACGAGAUAUAUAAUUGUGAAAAUUAUGCCGAAUUGGUAGACUUGGAUCAUCAAAAAAUCCCCAGAGAAGAACUGCUUCUAAAGCUGACAAUCUUGACAAGAUUUUUCAGGAAUUCCACUACAGGAAACACAUGCCCUAGUCUAUGCAAAAUACGUCGUGGCCUGGUAUCUACUCACAAAAUUAUAGCCAAGCUUAUUGGCUGCCUGGAAUCACCUGAUCACCAUGUGUCAUUCAUCGCCGUUAAAACUCUGGCACAUGUCAUUCAAAUGGGUGAUAUGUAUUUGAAUUCAGAAGUAUUAGGUCAGCUGAAGGCAUUAUAUAUAGAUCUCAUACCAUUGUCACCUAAGGCAUUACAUGUCGCUGAACUAGUGCAGUUGGUGUUUCAGGAUAAUCUUGAUGAAACCCAUCCUGUUAAAUCAACUAGUCUGCAGCUCAAAUGUCAAUGCUUAGAAAAUGAGAGUCUAUUCCUUCCUAACUCAGAGCUAGCAAAGUCGCCUCAAGAAAUAAUCAAAUUGAACCUUGAGGGAUGUCUGACAGAUUUAUUUAUUUUGUACAUACCAUUUUACCAUGACAUGCAUGUUCAUCUGAAGAAACUUGGUUCAUUAACUUUAGGAAUACAUGCUGGAGAUAUUGAUUUAUUCUUGAGAAGAAGCAAAGAAAUGCACCAGAUUUUAUAUGACUCCAGAAAACUCACAUUCACUGAAGAGUGCUGCUUUAUUGAAUUUUUGAAAAUGGUUUUCCAGGUUAUGAAGUCUGAGAAAAUUGGAGUUCCAUCUAAGUUUGAAGAUCAACAAGAUACAAAAAGCAAAAAUUCUAAAAGGCAAAUCUCCCAACCAGACAACAUGGCUAUGAAUAUAAAAGAAUCAAACAAAGAAAUAAGCAAGCAAGUCUUACUUUUACUGCCCCAUUACCUUCAUGUAAAAAACAUAUCUACCGAAAUCACAAGCACAAUAUAUGAUGUUCUAUCAAUGGCACAAGCUAGCUUUGAUGGAAGGGACUGGGUGGUGCUGAACAGUGCUGUUGAAGUGCUAAGUGUUUUCAGCUGUUGUGCACUGGAAAAUGCACCCUCCAAAGUGUUUAAUGGGUUUGGGGGAACCCAGAUUUUGCUUCCACCUUCAUACUCUUCCAGCAAGCUUGAUCCGGUAGUUCUGAGAAAGCUGUCUCUUCUACUGACAAAAUCAACAGUUUUAUCUCUUGAAGCCCUAAAGAUAACUAAAGAUUCCACAAGGAUAGUAACUUUGGUGUUGGAUUGUAUGCAGAGCUGGCUGUAUCAGAUUAGCAGUCAGCUGCUUUCAAACUCUUGUUCCUGUUGUCCAUCCACACAAAAAUCAAUAAUAGAGCUGUUUGCAGACCAGGAUGAUGAGAUGAUUGACAUACUGUACCAUCUACUUCUCCUACAUCUAGCAUUGUGCAGCAUUGAUAAAGAUCCUGAUUCUAUCCAUCUUCAACAUGCCAUCAACCCUCAUCUCCUGUUCCUGGAAUUCCUGGGCACCACUCGUCAUGACCACUCCAUUCUGCUGGACUUGCUGGUCUCAUCAGAGACCACUUUCCUGGUGUAUCUGGUCAAAUACCUUCACCUGGUCCUGGAUGAUUGGCAGGGGUUUCUCCAGGCAGCAAAUGACUUUGAUAGGAAUAUUGCCCAGGGUCACAUAGUACAUAAAAAAACUGGCUCAUUAUCUCAUUCUGAUCAAGAAUGCAGCAAAGAGGCUGGAUACCCUGAGAAUGUUGGCCUUAGUAGUCCUAUAUGUCGGCUGGACUUGGCAUGUGAGAGCGAAUGCAGCAAAGGAACUGGAUAUGAUGAGAAUGUUUGUCUUGGCAGUCCUAUCUGUGAGCAGGGCUUGGCACAUGAUGGUGAUUCAGAUGUGGAGUUGGAUUAUGGUAGCGAUUCGCCUACUAUCGCUGAUGGACUUGCAAAAAUUAUGUUUUCUUAUGGCAGUAAUGAUGAAGAUUCUGAAAUUGAGUUAGACUGUUCGCAGUCUGGUAAAAGUGUUGGUGGGCAGAAUGUGUUUUGUGGGUCCUCUAUGAUAUCUCAGAGAACGAACUGUGUAUCCCAUAGUGAUACCAGUGCGACAAAUGUUUAUGGUGAUGACAACGAUGAUGAUGUUGUUGAUGAUGAUGAAGAAGAAGAUGAUAAUGAUGGUGGUGGUUAUGAUGAUGACGAUGACGAAAGUGGUGAUAAUAAUGGUGACAACAAUGAUGAAAAUGCACAUGAUGAUGAUGCUGAAGAACGGUGUACCGAAGACUUUGACAUGCCCUGUCACGCACUAGAUGAUGCGAUGACAGUUCUGAUUCGUCUUCGGAUCGCGACAGAAAAGCUUGAGAAUGCCGGGCUUUUCCCUUUCUAUGUGAAGCCAUUGAUUUGCCUUAUUGAAUCAGCUGAAUAUCACUAUGAACAGUGCUGAUAUGAGCAAGAACUUAUUGUGUUGUUUAUAGUGUAGAUCUUAUUGUGUAGAUUAUAGUGCGACUUGCACUAACUAAUACGUGACCUUUUGAUUGGCAAAUUCGCACACGCUUCGGCUUUUAGCGGCAAAAUAAAACAAAAAAACAAAAAGUAACUUAUAAGCUCAUAUACAUUUUGUUCUUUUCGUCGUCCUUUGUCGUGACGGGUGCAUUUAUUUCUGUGUGAGUCACGUAAUCAGCUAUUGCAAGUCGCCUACGAUUAAUACACGAAGAAAGCUAAUCGGACUGUAGGGUGUUGCCCGCCGUCGAAGAAAACAGUGCAAUUUGGAAAUUAAGAAAUUUUGCAAUGACUUAAAACAUAGGGGUUUGGAGGCUCUGGAACGUCCUUCCCCGUCUAGGUACAUGGCUUAGCUACUCUGUACUCGUUGCAGGUUAUGAACAGGAGUGGUCCAAGCAUAAAGCACUGUGGAACUUCGGAGGUAGCGAAUAGAGUCUACUUUCGUCUUUUCAAAUAACGAUAAGCGAUAAAUAAAAUUCGAUCACUCUUAUGCGGGCUCACCUUAGCCACAGCGGUAACUCCCAAUACGCGCGCUAUUACGUAAAUCAUGAUGUAACUUUUUUUAUGAUAACGUAACAAAGGUUGCUAAGGUUUCCCGCCAGAUUUUCUACAGACCCCGAACUGGUCGGUCGACAUUUUUUCGCUCUUCCAUUUCUCUAAAAAUGGCUCACAGGAACCCAGUUUAUCAGGGCGGCUCGAUAAAUAAUUUAUCCAGCAAAGACAAAGAUAUUAUUCUUCGGCAAAAGUCAGCUUGAAGUUCUGCAAGGUGUCAGAAUUAGAGGAUUUGCAGUCUCUAAGAGAAUACAGAGAUAAGAGAGCCCAAAAUACCAGACGUAGUGCAAACGAGUGUGCCUCGGUAUGUAUAAACCAACCUCCAACUACCACAAAAGUUAGAGAAUAAGAGGCAACUUAGCUUACAUGCAAUUGUAAGACCUUUCAAAGACCUUUAAAGACUCUGGAUAAACUACGAAAUAGCCUCGCAACUGGAUAAGCAGAGCAGGUGGACCUAGCUUUUCGCUAAAGGGAGAGUUUGGCUCGGUGGCAAAGGGGGAAGGAAGUAAUUUUUUUGUUUCAUGUGGCUUUUUGGUAGCCCAAAGGGGGGGGGGGGAUUUAAAACCCCCUUCACCCUCCCCUAGACCCGCUACUGCAGAGAAUGGAGGGGGGGGGGGGGGGCUGCUAUGAUAUAUCUCGUGCAUUGGUCCUGAAGCACCGUUUGCAAACGUUGUCGAAAAAACAAAUAUUGAUUGAAUUAUGAAGCUCAUUGAAGCCACUGCGCUGGAGAAACGAAAUCUACUAAGGUAUUUGAAGAAACCGGAAGAAACCAGGAAAAUGGUGAGUCAGUAGAUCACUAUAUCGCUGCAUGUUAGAUCACUUUCUAAAACUUGUAAUUACGCCAAAUGGCAAGAUGUAAUAAUUUGUGACAGAAUCGUGGCCGAAAUAGCCUACAAUGGUACACGGUGUACACAAGAAAUUGUUGACAGAAAACAAACUAACAUUUGCAAAGUGAUUGAUAUCCGCUGUGUAAAUGAAGCCACUAUAGACAAGGCUAAAAGAAAUGUUCCAACCAAUCGGGUAAAAUCAGCACCAUUACCACAGGGCCCCCGCGCAGAAUAACAGGGUACAAAGGGGGUAAAAGACAGGAACCCGGAAAACCGCCACAUACGGAUAGUAGCAAAUCUAAUCCCCAGCCUAAAAGCAAGUUUUUUUCCAUUGAUUACCGCCUAGGGUUUAUGAAUACCCAGCUUGGCAGAAAACCUAUAAUUCAUAUGGAAAGUUUCUAAAUCACUUCUCAGUAGCAUAGGCAAGAAGGGUAAGAAACCAGUACACAGUGUUGAUUGCCAGUGAUAAUGGUGCAUUUUUUACUGUGGAGUCCGUGGACACUCUGAACAGAAAUCCACCUGUCCUGAGUAGAUUUGUAUGACAAAGUCUUCAAUGAUCCAAAAUUGGAACGCUUACAAAAAAGCAGCGCAACACUAGUUAUGUUUAACAAGUCAGAACUAAAAUCCCUCUCAACCCAAAGAAUAAUGAUUUACUGAAGUAUGCGAUAGUCCUUAGAAGUAACAUCCCACUUCUGACACCAUAUAUCGUUUUUCUUCCUUCCCUCAGCUGAGAAACGAUACAAUUUCUAUCUAUAGUUUAUUUUUCCCUCGAAUUUUUGGAUUUUUGGAGUCAAACAUUUUGUGUUUCGCGGCUACCCGUAGACUACUGCUACUUGGAGCACGUCCCCGGGCGCCGCAGGUUCGCAAAUGAUCUUCCCUGUAGUUCUCGGUGCUAUAAGUAUACAUUAAUGACCUUAAUUGGUUUGAGGAUAUCCUGAAAAUUCUACGUACUAAUGAACUUGCUCAUCUUCUUUCUUUAAUUGUCAAUUUAAAAUACGGCGCUCUCCAUCGAACGUGACCAAUUUUUGCCUGUCGAUUGUUAACAUUUGUUCAUUACUGAAAAAAAUUUGAUAAUUAGGCGGUUGGGUAGGUAGGGGUGGGGGAAGGGAGUCAUCUAGUUUUUUUCCUCUCGAAUUUUUUUACUUUUUAAAAAAACUUUACAAGGGAGUCAAACCAUUUGUGUUUCGCGGUUACUAGUAGGCGACGGCUACUUGGAGCACGCCCCCAGGCCCCUCUCGGUAUUUACAGCAGGUUCGCAAAUGAUCUUCCUCCACUGCUCUAAGUAUGCAUAAGUGGCCUUAAUUGCUUUGAGGCUACUCUGAAAAUCUACGUGUUUAAUUGGCAUUGCUCAUCGUUAUUUGUCUUUAUUUGUCAAUUUAGAAUUCGGUGCUCUCCAUCGAACGUGAUCAGUUUGAUGUCGAUUUUUUAACUUUUUCCUGUCAACUGACGAAUGACGAAAUUGCCAUCUGCUGGCAUCCAGUUUCUUUCAAAAAAUGAAAAAAAAAAAAACAACAAGAAAAAAAGCUACGGACAUCAUUUCAAACGUGGAACGGCAGUGAAGCGGGAAACUCGAAUUGUUUUAUUUUAAUUUUCUUUAUUAUUAUCUAGUAUUCUCAGGUGGUUACUCGAAUAAUAACGGGGUUUCACUUUUUUAUCUAAUUUUUCUUGUUUUUUCACAGCCAAUCCAAAUAAACCCAUUCUAAGACAACUGUGAUAUUUUUGUAUUUCUAUCGUUCACAACUUGUAGCAAAUGACACCCCAUUGAGAAAACAUGUCGUCCAACCGAGCUCUGUCUCUAUUGAAAGAGAGGAUAAACUCUGCAAUAGAAUAAACAGCAAUUUUGAAUCCGUUUAUAUUUUUUGUUCGACCAAACAAAACUUUGCUCUUUUAUUUUCGCUAGUUAAUUUAAUUAUUCGACCCCCUCAAAAAAGUGUAUUUUAUUUCCUUUUAUGUUUUUCUUCCUUUGCAAAUAGACUCAUCGUUCUCGUGACAAUAAAAAAACCAAUAAUAUAGCUUUCCUUUUAGAAUGUCUCAAAAACAAUAAACAUUGAUAUGUCGGCCGUUCAGUUCCCUUUCUUAUAUAAUUGGAGCAUUUGCUUGUCCAUCGGAAAUUUUGGGAGUGUAUUUUUUUUUCUAUUAUUUAAUUGUAUGUUUUGUAAUCGACUACGCAUUUUCAGUCACGCACGGUCCAUAGGUGAUUGUGGGGGAGAUAUGUUUGCACGCUACACGCGAUUUAGAGCACGUUUUCAAAAAAAGUCUUUCUAUAGGAGCAUAGAAAAUUCUUUGAUUGUGUUAUUUUCAAAACGACGAUUUUAAAAUAAAGGCCAAGGUUGACUUUGGAAAAUAGAGCGUUAUAUUUUGUCAUAGUAAAGAGACCGCAUAUUAUAAUGUUAUUCUUCCUUCAAGCACUUUAGCCCCUCUGUCUAGCAUAACAAAUAGUAAAAGAGAAACUAGUUUCUUAAGGCGUCACUCUAUUUAUUGUCUGGCGUUACUUUGGGUUUCUAUUCUUACACCGCUCGCGAUUGGUCAACAAGCGAGCAGCCCUGGAGAUAUAUUAUAUUAGGCGUCUUAUGAUUGGCUGUAUUCACCCGAGCUUGUCACCUGAGCUUAGUGCUAAUACUUUGUCUUCGCCUCUCAGUUCGCAUGGACUUUUGCAAACUGCUAGCGUUACCUCGAAAAAAUCAAUUCAUCCCUACUCUACAUGACUCUAAUCAAGCAAUUUAAAAUUUACAACUUUCCAAGAGGUCUUCCAAGGGAUUUUUAUGCUGUCUAACUGGUUGUAAAUUAGAAGUAUUUGUAAAGACGCGUUGAACGUAAUAAGGUCGAUGUGUGUUGAUGACAACGAGGAGUAUAGCGGCCAUCGAUAGACUACGUCCCUUCCUGAGUUUUCCUUUGGCGCCGCAAAGGCCUUGAUUUCACGCUGGAUCCCACACAAGGCUUCAUGUUUACUCCCGGCUCUAUGGGAGAGGAGCAAGAUGACUACGAAGACGAAAUGUCCGAAAAAUCUUCGCAUGGUCGUCUGCGGAAAAGAAAAUCUAACAUACAAAUGAUGA
RNA transcript from Nematostella vectensis (starlet sea anemone), 6998 nucleotides. It is a transcript of the gene named aryl hydrocarbon receptor nuclear translocator homolog, with no coding region annotated. The record is from RefSeq and is a predicted model, not a curated record. NCBI's taxonomy places the organism in Eukaryota, Metazoa, Cnidaria, Anthozoa, Actiniaria, Edwardsiidae. The transcript has 6 exons.